AGUGAACGCUGGCGGUAGGCCUAACACAUGCAAGUCGAACGGCGGCACAGUAAGAGCUUGCUCUUACGGGUGGCGAGUGGCGGACGGGUGAGGAAUACAUCGGAAUCUACUUUUUCGUGGGGGAUAACGUAGGGAAACUUACGCUAAUACCGCAUACGACCUACGGGUGAAAGCAGGGGAUCUUCGGACCUUGCGCGAUUGAAUGAGCCGAUGUCGGAUUAGCUAGUUGGCGGGGUAAAGGCCCACCAAGGCGACGAUCCGUAGCUGGUCUGAGAGGAUGAUCAGCCACACUGGAACUGAGACACGGUCCAGACUCCUACGGGAGGCAGCAGUGGGAAAUAUUGGACAAUGGGCGCAAGCCUGAUCCAGCCAUACCGCGUGGGUGAAGAAGGCCUUCGGGUUGUAAAGCCCUUUUGUUGGGAAAGAAAAGCAGCAGGUUAAUACCCCGCUGUUCUGACGGUACCCAAAGAAUAAGCACCGGCUAACUUCGUG
RNAcentral lists this ribosomal RNA (492 nucleotides) under uncultured bacterium. RNAcentral describes it as "partial 16S ribosomal RNA". It matches the Rfam family "Bacterial small subunit ribosomal RNA", at positions 29 to 507 of the family's 1533-position model. The record is from RNAcentral.